ACAUAGGUUUGGUCCCAGCCUUCCUGUUAACUCUUAAUAAACUUACACAUGCAAGCAUCCACACCCCAGUGAGAAUGCCCUCUAGGUUAUUAAAACUAAGAGGAGCUGGCAUCAAGCACACACCCUGUAGCUCACGACGCCUUGCUUAACCACACCCCCACGGGAAACAGCAGUGACAAAAAUUAAGCCAUAAACGAAAGUUUGACUAAGUUAUAUUAAUUAGGGUUGGUAAAUCUCGUGCCAGCCACCGCGGUCAUACGAUUAACCCAAGCUAACAGGAGUACGGCGUAAAACGUGUUAAAGCACCAUACCAAAUAGGGUUAAAUUCUAAUUAAGCUGUAAAAAGCCAUGAUUAAGAUAAAAAUAAAUGACGAAAGUGACCCUACAAUAGCCGAUGCACUAUAGCUAAGACCCAAACUGGGAUUAGAUACCCCACUAUGCUUAGCCCUAAACACAGAUAAUUAUAUAAACAAAAUUA
Molecule: ribosomal RNA, 478 nt
Filed under: Bison bonasus (European bison)
Lineage: Eukaryota; Metazoa; Chordata; Mammalia; Artiodactyla; Bovidae
Description: partial small subunit ribosomal RNA
Source: RNAcentral